GAGCGCGGGAAGCGAACGGAACUCUUCGGAGGGAAGUUCGUGGAACGAGCGGCGGACGGGUGAGUAACACGUAGGCAACCUGCCUGUAAGACUGGGAUAACUCGCGGAAACGCGAGCUAAUACCGGAUAACACUUUCCAUCUCCUGAUGGAAAGUUGAAAGGCGGCUUUUGCUGUCACUUACAGAUGGGCCUGCGGCGCACUAGCUAGUUGGUGAGGUAACGGCUCACCAAGGCGACGAUGCGUAGCCGACCUGAGAGGGUGAUCGGCCACACUGGGACUGAGACACGGCCCAGACUCCUACGGGAGGCAGCAGUAGGGAAUCUUCCGCAAUGGACGAAAGUCUGACGGAGCAACGCCGCGUGAGUGAUGAAGGUUUUCGGAUCGUAAAACUCUGUUGUCAGGGAAGAACAAGUACGAUAGUAACUGAUCGUACCUUGACGGUACCCGACCAGAAAGCCACGGCUAACUACGUGCCAGCAGCCGCGGUAAUACGUAGGUGGCAAGCGUUGUCCGGAAUUAUUGGGCGUAAAGCGCUCGCAGGCGGGUUCUUUAAGUCUGAUGUGAAAUCUUGCGGCUCAACCGCAAA
Molecule: ribosomal RNA, 587 nt
Filed under: Oceanobacillus sp.
Lineage: Bacteria; Bacillati; Bacillota; Bacilli; Caryophanales; Bacillaceae
Description: bacterial SSU rRNA
Rfam family: Bacterial small subunit ribosomal RNA
Source: RNAcentral